Molecule: long non-coding RNA, 306 nt
Filed under: Salmo salar (Atlantic salmon)
Lineage: Eukaryota; Metazoa; Chordata; Actinopteri; Salmoniformes; Salmonidae
Description: lncRNA (ENSSSAG00000093476.1)
Source: RNAcentral
GUUAUGGUCAGUCUAGCUGUAUGGAGGAGGAGGUACUGCUCUGUUUCAGCUGUUAUGGUCAGUCUAGCUGUAUGGAGAAGGAGGUACUGCUCUGUUUCAGCUGUUAUGGUCAGUCUAGCUGUAUGGAGGAGGAGGUACUGCUCUGUUUCAGCUGUUAUGGUCAGUCUAGCUGUAUGGAGGAGGUACUGCUCUGUUUCAGCUGUUAUGGUCAGUCUAGCUGUAUGGAGGAGGUACUGCUCUGUUUCAGCUGUUAUGGUCAGUCUAGCUGUAUGGAGGAGGAGGUACUGCUCUGUUUCAGCUGUUAUG